This 713-nucleotide long non-coding RNA is filed under the name Androctonus crassicauda. Lineage: Eukaryota; Metazoa; Arthropoda; Arachnida; Scorpiones; Buthidae. The record is from RNAcentral.
UUACCCAUAAAAAAAAAAAAUAAUAAUCUAAAAUAUGAAACUGAAGUUCUCAUUUUAUAAAUGUAUAUCUAGAAUGGAAUAGUUUAGUUGAAUGCAGCGAAACAAUUUCUCGAAAAUGAGUCAAUUAUAUUCUAUUUUUAGACAUUUUAUCACAUCCAAAUUUGAGUAAAUUAUAUAAUAUUUUAUCCUCAGCUUUUUCAUUACUGAAUUUUAAAAUUCAACGCUCACUGGGCUGCUAUUACAAUAACAAAAAUUAGGCUUCUGUCACCUUAAUAUUUAUGAUUAUAUUACAUUUAACAUUUUUACAAUGGUAAAAGUAAAAAGGAAAUACAGUACUAUACCUGGUAUGAUGUGUCUAUCCGGAGUUUCAAAUCUUUCAGGCAUUUGGAGGGCUUUAUAUAGAAUCAUUAUAUCAUGUUUAUCAAAGCGGAAUAGAAAAUUCAAAUUUCCUGCUGGUACUUUAUUAAUGUCAAAGCAAGCAGAAUCAUAUAACAUUUCCUGCUCUCUCCAUGAUGUUUGAACAGACAUGUACACGAGAUAAUUUUCUAACACUGAAUCGAGCAAAGCAAGCACUUCGAUAUCAUCCAUAUUUUUUUCUAACGACAGCCUCGAUUUUGGAUAGUUUUAUAACCUAACGUAUCCCACAAAACAUAACCGCCGCAAACGUCUUCAGCGCCGUCUACCGUAUGUGUUUUAUAAGUGUAUAAGCGUAU